GACGUAGGGCGCGAGCGUUGUCCGGAUUUAUUGGGCGUAAAGAGCUCGUAGGCGGCUUGUUGCGUCGGCUGUGAAAUCCCAUGGCUCAACUGUGGGCUUGCAGCCGAUACGGGCGGGCUAGAGUUCGGUAGGGGAGACUGGAAUUCCUGGUGUAGCGGUGAAAUGCGCAGAUAUCAGGAAGAACACCUAUGGCGAAAGCAGCUCUCUGGGACGGUACUGACGCUGAGGCGCGAAAGCGUGGGGAGCGAACAGG
This 253-nucleotide ribosomal RNA is filed under the name uncultured bacterium. Its description in RNAcentral is "partial 16S ribosomal RNA". It matches the Rfam family "Bacterial small subunit ribosomal RNA", at positions 524 to 776 of the family's 1533-position model. The record is from RNAcentral.